CCCUUCUGGAUCAUGUCCUGCACAAUUCUCAUCCUAUAUUUCUUUCUCAAGCUUGCAUCUUCAGACAACAACACUCAAGAUGGAUUCUUGUUCGAUGGUUUCUUCAAGUUGGGUGGCAGCGCAGAGGUAAACAAUUCCAAUAUGUCCUCUCAUGUAAUAUUUGCGGAUAGUGGCCUGAGCGAAGCAGGCCAAGUCUUCUAUAACCGUACUUUCAAAUUCAAGAACUCAACUACUGCUCCUGUCUUCUCCUUCUCCACUACCUUUAUUUUUGCAGUAGUAUCCAACGACCCUGAAUUCAGCGGCCAUGGUCUUGCCUUCGCUAUCUCACCAUCGAAUGGUAUUCCUGGUGCCUUACCAAAUCAGUAUCUUGGUCUUUUUAAUGCAUCUAACAAUGGAGAAAUUUCAAAUCAUGUAGUUGCAGUGGAGCUUGACACAGACCAAGAUUUCCAAUUUGAAGACAGAGAUGAUAACCAUCUGGGUAUUGAUAUUAAUGGUUUAGUAUCUGUGAAAUCUGCUACUGCUGGCUACUUUGAUGAGCAUGGGCG
RNAcentral lists this unclassified non-coding RNA (545 nucleotides) under Hevea brasiliensis (rubber tree). The record is from RNAcentral. Lineage: Eukaryota; Viridiplantae; Streptophyta; Magnoliopsida; Malpighiales; Euphorbiaceae.